This 423-nucleotide ribosomal RNA is filed under the name uncultured bacterium. Its description in RNAcentral is "bacterial SSU rRNA". It matches the Rfam family "Bacterial small subunit ribosomal RNA", at positions 55 to 526 of the family's 1533-position model. The record is from RNAcentral.
AUGNAANNCGAGCGCUCAGCAAUGGGAGCGGNNGACGGUUGAGUAACACGUGGGAACAUGCCCUUCGGUACGGAACAACUCAGGGAAACUUGAGCUAAUACCGUAUGAUCCGGCAACGGCAAAGAUUUAUCGCCGAGGGAUUGGCCCGCGUCCGAUUAGCUAGUUGGUGAGGUAACGGCCCACCAAGGCUCCGAUCGGUAGCUGGUUUGAGAGAACGACCAGCCACACUGGGACUGAGACACGGCCCAGACUCCUACGGGAGGCAGCAGUGGGGAAUCUUGGACAAUGGGGGAAACCCUGAUCCAGCCAUGCCGCGUGAGUGAUGAAGGCCUUCGGGUUGUAAAACUCUUUCGACGGGGACGAUAAUGACGGUACCCGUAGAAGAAGCUCCGGCUAACUUCGUGCCAGCAGCCGCGGUAAUAC